RNAcentral lists this RNase P RNA (387 nucleotides) under Candidatus Hermodarchaeota archaeon. RNAcentral describes it as "RNase P RNA component". It matches the Rfam family "Archaeal RNase P". From Rfam's summary of the family: Ribonuclease P (RNase P) is a ubiquitous endoribonuclease, found in archaea, bacteria and eukarya as well as chloroplasts and mitochondria. Lineage: Archaea; Promethearchaeati; Candidatus Hermodarchaeota. The record is from RNAcentral.
CAGAGAUAAAGGACGGCUGCCGGUAGUUCCUGAAGAGGAAAUGCUGAGGAAGCUCCGUUCUCCCUUAGGCAACGGUACGGCGAAAGCUGUAAGGCGAGAGCCUUGCUCUGGGAACAGAAACGACACGCCCAGCGUCGAUAUGACGAUGAUGCAGUAGAGGGCCAACUAUCAGUUGUGUCCAAGCGUCGUGUUGGUAACAAUACGAUGGUUAACCUGUUGAGGAUGGCGUUGGAACCGUUGAAACGGUCCAUCACCGUGGGAGCAAGCCCAAAUAGGCCGCCAAUGAGGAGCCUACUGAGGUGGCGGGUAGGGUGCUUAGCUAGAUGCCGUCAAGCGAUUCAAGGCAACUUGAAUGGCUGAACAAAAGAUGGGCUAUUCUUAUUACUG